Molecule: ribosomal RNA, 494 nt
Filed under: uncultured bacterium
Lineage: Bacteria
Description: partial 16S ribosomal RNA
Rfam family: Bacterial small subunit ribosomal RNA
Source: RNAcentral
GACGAACGCUGGCGGCGUGCUUAACACAUGCAAGUCGAACGGUGAAGCGCCUUCCUUUUUGGUGGGUGUGGAUGAGUGGCGAACGGGUGAGUAACACGUGAGUAACCUGCCCCCUUCUUCUGGAUAACCGCAUGAAAGUGUGGCUAAUACGGGAUAUUCUGGGUCUGUCGCAUGAUGGGUCUGGGAAAGAUAUUGUUUCGGUGGGGGAUGGGCUCGCGGCCUAUCAGCUUGUUGGUGGGGUGAUGGCCUACCAAGGCGGUGACGGGUAGCCGGCCUGAGAGGGUGGACGGUCACACUGGGACUGAGCCACGGCCCAGACUCCGACGGGAGGCAGCAGUGGGGAAUAUUGCACAAUGGGCGCAAGCCUGAUGCAGCGACGCCGCGUGAGGGAUGGAGGCCUUCGGGUUGUGAACCUCUUUCGCCAGUGAAGCAGGCCUGCCUCGUUUGUGGGUGGGUUGACGGUAGCUGGAUAAGAAGCGCCGGCUAACUACGUG